CCUAAGGUUAAGGCUCGGGUGGAAUAAUGAAGACCAGGAAUUUAGUUCCUGGUACUAGUGGUUCUGAAGUGUUUAAGGGGGGUUCCUUCUUUACUCUCCUAAGUAAAUACUGAAGAUUAUUUUAUGCAUCCACAGUAGUGAGGGAACUUUAAAUGUUUUUAAAUUAAUGAGCAGAUUACUGUAAUUAUCACUUGUUGAGCUCUAAAUUCUUAAGUCUCUGGUAGACACAUCACAUGCAUUUCUUCUUUCUUUUCUUGGCUAGGCCUGUGGCAUGCUCCCCUGCCAGGGAUUGAACAAGCGCCACAGAUGUGACCCAAGCCGCUGCAGUGACAACGUAGGAGUUUUAACCAGCUGCCCCACAGGGGAACUCUUCCAUGGAAUAGAAGCAAUUGCUGUUUGAACAAAAGCUAGCAGUUUUAGUGACAAGUCUUGUCAGCAUUUAAAGAAGAAAAGACAGGCAUGAAAUCAACCGUGUUGUAAUUUUAAAUGGCCAUCAGCACCUUGACCUGAAAUAUCAAUCAGACUUUACAAUGACAACCUAUUUGGAAUUCAUCCAACAAAAUGAAGAACAAGAUGGAAUCCGAUUUAGUUGGAAUGUUUGGCCAUCAAGUCGACUAGAAGCUAUAAGAAUGGUGGUUCCAGUAGCAGCCCUAUUCACACCAGAUUUGCCAACUCUUCAGUAAGAACCUGUUGUGUGGAGUAGGACCACUUGCCGUGCAGUUUUUAAUCCUUUGUGGUAAUUAAAGUAUAUGGAAAAAGCUAA
Non-coding RNA from Sus scrofa (pig), 763 nucleotides. NCBI's taxonomy places the organism in Eukaryota, Metazoa, Chordata, Mammalia, Artiodactyla, Suidae. The record is from RefSeq and is a predicted model, not a curated record.